This 1447-nucleotide long non-coding RNA is filed under the name Chrysemys picta bellii (western painted turtle). RNAcentral's name for it is "lncRNA (ENSCPBG00000024107.1)". Lineage: Eukaryota; Metazoa; Chordata; Testudines; Emydidae. The record is from RNAcentral.
GCUAAUCUAGCAUUUCUAAUACCCACGCUAGUUGGGAAAGAAAACGGGGGGCUGAUGUCUCGGUAAGAUGGUUUCAAAGAUUCCUUAAGAUUACAAGGGUUGUUUGGUAGUGCAGCAAUAAUGAAUAUGCACCAUGUGGGAAUCAGGAAAGUUUGGUUUUGAUUGGUUUGGUUUAUUAUACAGUAACCAGCUCUCCCUACAUGAAGAGAUCAAAUAGAUCAUAUUGCUUACUGUGAAACAUAUAUAUAGAGAGGGCGAGAAUACAUUAUUUUUUCUUUGCAUAGUAAUUUCAGGGCUUCAGUAAGGUGUUUUCUUUCUUUCUUUCCCUCCCCCUUUUUCUUUGGAGUCCCUCUGACACCACAUAUCUGGGAAUGAAGAACUUCUCAGAGCUGAUUGGAAAUGGCAUUGCUGUGCUGAAACUUAACUGGAGGAAAUACAUCUCCCGAAGAAGAAAAUAUAAUGCACUUUAAGGAUCUGACUUCUGGUGAAAAAUUCAAGCCUAGAGAAAACUUGUCCGCUUUAUUAAGAAGAAUGGGUUGGACAAUCUUCUUCAAUUCCAAAGGAUAUCUGAACGCCAUGCUGAGCUUAAUCUCUGCAGCAUGCUCUGUGCUUCUCUUCUCCUCCUGAUGCACUGCAUGGUUAGCCUGAGGAGAAGGAUAAAGAAACUGGCUACCAAGAUGGUAAUCACUAGUGGAAAUGAAGAAGAUAAAGGCAAUCAAGAAAAGGAGAGCAAAGAAGAAACCAUCCUGGCAAUGCUUGGGAUUAUUGGAACAAUUCUGAACCUCAUUGUGAUCAUUUUUGUGUACAUUUACACAACAUUGUGAGCCAGAAGGCACACGACAAGAACCGACGAAACGGCUGCUAAAGGUGACAACAAACAUUGUAGGGUAUUGACAUGUUGCUUAAUCAGCAUUGAUUCUGUACUAUAUUACCACAUCAUAAAAACACUGCCUGCAGGCAGCAAAAGCUGAAGCACAAUUAAUUUAACAAGACUUUUUCAUGCGGUAACAAGCUCCUUUCCCUUUUUAUUUGGGUUUGGUUUGGGGGGAAAUGACUGCAAUUAUGUAAGUAGCAGCUUUGAAGAACUCAAUCUGGGAUACAAACACAAUAGAGACUGUACACUAUUUAGAAUUACUAAUGUAUACCAUAUACUCUGAAAGAUAGCUAGAUAGCACCGAUUUUGUGUCCAUUAGGUCAAAUAAUUUUUUUUCUCCUUGACUUUUCAAUUUUAUUUACAUUGAAACUGACAGGCUUUUUAUUUAGAAUGAACAUAUGGUGCAAUCAUGGAAAAACAAUUCCGUUGAGCAAGAUCUGCCUAAAAACAAUGAAAUAUUGGGGGAAAUAAGUGACAUGAUUAUUUUUUCUUUCUCAUUUGCUUGACAUUUGUGUCUGUUCAAACCAAUGUUUAUAAAUAUAUAUUUUUAAUAAAUGUGCUAUAUUUUUAGCA